GGCCCCGGCCUUCGGGCGGUUAUUUUUGGGCGCGGCUUUGCCCGCGGCCUAUUUUUGGCAUACGGAGGCCCCUCGCAAAGGCUCGCGGCAUUCCGAGUCCGGCGGAUGAAGUGGGCCAGCCCCAUCCCCCAAGGCUAUAGCCCACCCGUUUUUGUGGCCUUUUUUCGCUGGACGAACUUGGUGCCCCGGCCUUCGGGCGGUUAUUUUUGGGCGCGGCUUUGCCCGCGGCCUAUUUUUGGCAAAUGGAGGCCCCUCGUAAAGUCUCGCGGCAUUCCGAGUCCGGCGGACGAAGUUGGCCAGCCCCACCCCCCAAGGCUAUAGCCCGCCCGUUUUUGUGGCCUUUUUCCGCUGGACGAACUUGAUGCCUCGGACUUCGGGCGGUUAUUUUUGGGCGCGGCUUUGCCCGCGGCCUAUUUUCUGCACACGGAGGCCCCUCGCAAAGUCUCACGGCAUUCCAAGCCCGGCGGACGAAGUUGGCCAGCCCCACCCCCCAAGGCUAUAGCCCACCCGUUUUUGUGGCCUUUUUCCGCUGGACGAACUUGGCGCCCCGGCCUUCGGGCGGUUAUUUUUGGGCGCGGCUUUGCCCGCGGCCUAUUUUGGGCACACGGAGGCCCCUCAAAAAUUCUCGCGGCAUUCCGAGUCCGGCGGACGAAGUUGGCCAUCCCCACCCCCCAACGCUAUAGCCCACCCGUUUUUGUGGCCUUUUUCCGCUGGACGAACUUGGCGCCCCGGCCUUCAGGCGGUUAUUUUUGGGCGCGGAUUUGCCCGCGGCCUACUUUUGNNNNNNNNNNNNNNNNNNNNNNNNNNNNNNNNNNNNNNNNNNNNNNNNNNNNNNNNNNNNNNNNNNNNNNNNNNNNNNNNNNNNNNNNNNNNNNNNNNNNNNNNNNNNNNNNNNNNNNNNNNNNNNNNNNNNNNNNNNNNNNNNNNNNNNNNNNNNNNNNNNNNNNNNNNNNNNNNNNNNNNNNNNNNNNNNNNNNCCGCAAAGUCUCGCGGCAUUCCGAGUCCGGCAGACGAAGUUGGCCAGCCCCACCCCCCAAGGCUAUAGCCCACCCGUUUUUGUGGCCUUUUUCCGCUGGACGAACUUGGCGCCCCGGCCUUCGGGCGGUUAUUUUUGGGCGUAGCUUUGCCCGCAGCCUAUUUUUGGCACAAGGAGGCCCCUCGCAAAGUCUCGCGGCAUUCAGAGUCCGACGGAUGAAGUCGGCCAGCCCCACCUCCCAAGGCUAUAGCCCACCCGUUUUUGUGGCCUUUUUCCGCUGGACGAACUUGGCGCCCCGGCCUUCGGGCAGUUAUUUUUGGGAGCGGAUUUGCCCGUGGCCUAUUUUCUGCACACAGAGGCCCCUCGCAAAGUCUCACGGCAUUCCGAGUCCGGCGGACGAAGUUGGCCAGCCCCACUCCCCAAGGCUAUAGCCCACACAUUUUUGCGGGCUUUUUCCGCUGGACGAACUUGGCGCCCCGGCCUUCGCGCGGUUAUUUUUGGGUGCGGCUUUGCCCGCGGCCUACGUUUGGCACACGGAGGCCGCUCGAAAAGUCUCGGGGCAUUCCGAGUCCGGCGGACGAAGUUGGCCAUUCCCACCCCCCAAGGCUAUAGCCAAACCGUUUUUGUGGCCUUUUUCCGCUGGACGAACUUGGCGCCCCGGCCUUCGGGCGGUUAUUUUUGGGCGCGGCUUUGCCCGUUUCCUAUUUUUGGCACACGGAGGCCCCUCGCAAAGUCUCGCGGCAUUCCGAGUCCGGCGGACGAAGUUGGCCAGCCACACCCCCCAAGGCUAUAGCCCACCCGUUUUUGUGGCCUUUUUCCGCUGGACGAACUUGGCGCCCCGGCCUUCGGGCGGUUAUUUUUGGGCUCGGCUGUGCCCAUGUCCUGUUUUUGGCACACGGAGGCCCCUCGGAAAGUCUUGCGCCAUUCCGAGUCCGGCGGACGAAGUUGGCCAGCCCCACCCCCGAAGGCUGUAGCCCACACUUUUUUGUGGCCUUUUUCCGCUGGACGAACUUGGCGCCCCGGCCUUCGGGCAGUUAUUUUUGGGCGCGGCUGUGCCCGUGUCCUAUUUUUGGCACACGGAGGCACCUCGCAAAGUAUCGCGCCAUUCCGAGUCCGGCGGACGAAGUUGGCGAGCCCCACCCCCCAAGGCUAUAGCCCACCCGUUUUUCUGGCCUUUUUCCGCUGGACGAACUUGGCGCCCCGGCCUUCGGAAGGUUAUUUUUGGUCGCGGCUGUGCCCGCGGCCUAUUUUUGGCACACAGAGGCGCCUCGCAAAGUCUCGCGCCAUUCCGAGUCCGGCGGACGAAGUUGGCCAGCCCCACCCCCCAAGGCGACAGCCCACCCGUUUUUGUGGCCUUUUUCCGCUGGACGAACUUGGCUCCCCGGCCUUCGGGCGGUUAUUUUUGGGCGUAGCUGUGCCCGCAACCUGUUUUUGGCACACGGAGGUGCCUCGUAAAGUCUCGUGCCAUUCCGAGUCCGGCGGACAAAGUUGGCCGGCCCCACCGCCCAAGGCUAUAGCCCACCCGUUUUUGUGGCCUUUUUCCGUUGGACGAACUUGGCGCCCCGGCCUUCGGGCGGUUAUUUUUGGGCGCAGCUGUGCCCGCAGCCUGUUUUUGGCACAUGGAGGUGCCUCGCAAAGUCUCGCGCCAUUCUGAGUCCGGCGGACAAAGUUGGCCGGCCCCACCGCCCAAGGCUAUAGCCCACCCAUUUUUGUGGCCUUUUUCCGCUGCACGAACUCUGCGCCCCGACCUUCGGACGGUUAGUUUUGGUCGUGGCUGUGCCCACGGCCUAUUUUUAGCCCACGAAGGCGCCUCGCAAAGUCUCGCGCCAUUCCGAGUCCGGCGGACGAAGUUGGCCAGCCCCACCCCCGAAGGCUGUAGCCCACACUUUUUUGUGGCCUUUUUCCGCUGGACGAACUUGGCGCCCCGGCCUUCGGGAGUUUAUUUUUGGGCGCGGCUGUGCCCGCGGCCUAUUUUUUUUACACGGAGGUGCCUCGCAAAGGCUCGUGCCAUUCCGAGUCCGGCGGAAGAAGUCGGCCGGCCACACCCCCCAAGGCUAUAGCCCACCCGUUUUUGUGGCCUUUUUCCCCUGGACGAACUUGGCGCCCCAGCCUUCGGGCGGUUAUUUUUGGGCGCGGCUUUGCCGACGGCCUAUUUUUGGCACACGUAGGCCCCUCGCAAAGUCUCGCGGCAUUCCGAGUCCGGCGGACGAAGUUGGCCAGCCCCACCCCCCAAGGUUAUAGCCCACCCGUUUUUGGGCCCUUUUUCCGCUGGACGAACUUGGCCCCCCGGCCUUCGGGCGGUUAUUUUUGUGCGCGGCUGUGCCCGCGGCCUAUUUUUAGCACACGGAGACCCCUCAAAAAGUCUCGCGCCAUUCCGAGUCCGGCGGACGAAGUUGGCGCUGGACGAACUUGGCGCCCCGGCCUUCGGGCGGUUAUUUUUGGGGGUGGCUGUGUCCACGGCCUAUUUUUGGCACACGGAGGUGCCUCGUAAAGUCUAGCGCCAUUCCGAGCCGGGCGGACGAAGUUGGCCAGCCCCACCCCCCAAGGCUAUAGCCCACCCGUUUUUGUGGGCUUUUUCCGCUGGGCGACUUGGCGUCCCGGCCUUCGGGCGGUUAUUUUUGGGCGCGGCUGUGCCCGCGGCCUAUUUUUGGCACACGGAGGGGCCUCGUAAAGUCUCGCGCCAUUCCGAGUCGGGCGGACGAAGUUGGCCAGCCCCAACCCCAAAGGCUAUAGCCCACCCGUUUUUGUGGCCUUUUUCCGCUGGACGAACAUGGCGCCCCGCCUUCGGGUGGUUAUUUUUGGGCGCGGCUGUGCCCGCGACCUAUUUUUGGCACACGGAGGUGCCUCGCAAAGUCUCGCGCCAUUCCGAGUGCUGCGGACGAAUUUGGCCAGCCCCACCCCCCAAGGCUAUAGCCCACCCGUUUUUGUGGCCUUUUUCCGCUGGACGAACUUGGCGCCCCGGCCUUCGGGCGGUUAUUUUUGGGCGCGGCUGUGCCCGCGGCCUAUUUUUGGCACACGGAGGUGCCUCGCAGAGUCUCACGCCAUUCCGAGUCCGGCGGACGAAGUCGGCCCGCCCCACCCCCCAAGGUUAUAGCCCACCCGUUUUUGUGGCCUUUUUCCGCUGGACGAACUUGGCGCCCCGGCCUUCGGGCGGUUAAUUUUGGGCGCGACUGUACCCGCGGCCUAUUUUUGGCACACGGACGCGCCUCGCCAAGUCUCGCGCCAUUCCGAGUCCGGCGGACGAUGUUGGCCAGCCCCACCCCCCAAGGCUAUAGCCCACCCGUUUUUGUGGCCUUUUUCCGCUGGAUGAACUUGGCGCCCCGGCCCCCGGGCUGUUAUUUUUGGGCGCGGCUUUUUCCGCGGACUAUUUUUGGCACACGGAGGACCAUCGCAAAGUCUCACGGUAUUCCGAGUCGGGCGGACAAAGUUGGCCAGCCCCACCCCCCAAGGCUAUAGCCCACCCGUUUUUGUGGCCUUUUUCCGCUGGACAAACUUGGCGCCCCGGCCUUCGGGCGGUUUUUUUUUGGCACGGUUGUGCGCGCGGCCUAUUUUUGGCAGACGGAGGCGGCUCGCAAAGUCUCGCGCCAUUCCGAGUGCUGCGGACGAAUUUGGCCAGCCCCACCCCCCAAGGCUAUAGCCCGCCCGUUUUUGUGGCCUUUUUCCGCUGGACGAACUUGGCGCCCCGGCCUUCGGGCGGUUAUUUUUGGGCGCGGCUGUGCCCGCGGCCUAUUUUUGGCACACGGAGGCGCCUCGCAGAGUCUCAUGCCAUUCCGAGUCCGGCGGACGAAGUCGGCCCGCCCGACCCCCCAAGGUUAUAGCCCACCCGUUUUUGUGGCCUUUUUCCGCUGGACGAACUUGGCGCCCCGGCCUUCGGGCGGUUAUUUUUGGACGCGCCUGUACCCGCGGCCUAUUUUUGGCACACGGAGGCGCCUCGCCAAGUCUCGCGCCAUUCCGAGUCCGGCGGACGAUGUUGGCCAGCCCCACCCCCCAAGCCUAUAGCCAACCCGUUUUUGUGGCCUUUUUCCACUCGACGAACUUGGCGCCCCUGCCGUCGGGCGGUUAUUUUUGGGCGCGGCUGUACCAGCGGCCUAUUUUUGGCACACGGAGGCACCUCGCAAGGUCUCUCGCCAUUCCGAGUCCGGCGGACGAAGUUGGCCAGCCCCACCCCCCAAGGCUAUAGCCCACCCGUUUUUGUGGCCUUUUUCCUCUGGACGAACUUGGCGCCCCGGCCUUCGGGCGAUUAUUUUUGGGCGUGGCUGUGCCCGCGGCCUAUUUUUGGUACAAGGAGGCCCCUCGCAUAGGCUCGC
This 5283-nucleotide long non-coding RNA is filed under the name Citrus x clementina. Its description in RNAcentral is "Citrus clementina (C. clementina) long non-coding RNA (CCLE_LNC003219)". Lineage: Eukaryota; Viridiplantae; Streptophyta; Magnoliopsida; Sapindales; Rutaceae. The record is from RNAcentral.